UUCCGGUUGAUCCUGCCGGACCUGACUGCUAUCGGAUUGAUACUAAGCCAUGCUAGUCUUUGUAGUAAUACAAGGCAUACGGCUCAGUAACGCGUAGUCAACCUACCCUAUGGACGGGGAUAAUCUCGGGAAACUGAGCAUAAUACCCGGCAGACCACUUAUCCUGGAAUGGUUAGUGGUUAAAAUGAUUCGUCGCCAUAGGAUGGGACUGCGGCCUAUCAGCUUGUUGGUGAGGUAAUGGCCCACCAAGGCGAUUACAGGUACGGGCUCUGAGAGGAGAGGCCCGGAGAUGGGUACUGAGACAAGGACCCAGGCCCUAUGGGGCGCAGCAGGCGAGAAAACUUUGCAAUGUGCGAAAGCACGACAAGGUUAAUCCGAGUGAUUUCUGCUAAAGGAAUCUUUUGUUAGUUCUAAAAAUACUAGUGAAUAAGGGGUGGGCAAGUUCUGGUGUCAGCCGCCGCGGUAAAACCAGCACCUCAAGUGGUCAGGAGGAUUAUUGGGCCUAAAGCAUCCGUAGCCUGUUCUAUAAGUUUGCGGUUAAAUCUAUACGCUCAACGUAUAGGCUGCCGUAAAUACUGUAAAACUAGGGAGUGGGAGAGGUAGACGGUACUCGAUAGGAAGGGGUAAAAUCCUUUGAUCUAUUGAUGACCACCUGUGGCGAAGGCGGUCUACCAGAACACGUUCGACGGUGAGGGAUGAAAGCUGGGGGAGCAAACCGGAUUAGAUACCCGGGUAGUCCCAGCUGUAAACGAUGCAGACUCGAUGAUGCAAUGGCAUAGAGCUAUUGCAGUAUCGCAGGGAAGCCGUUAAGUCUGCCGCCUGGGAAGUACGUACGCAAGUAUGAAACUUAAAGGAAUUGGCGGGGGAGCACCACAAGGGGUGAAGCCUGCGGUUCAAUUGGAGUCAACGCCGGG
Molecule: ribosomal RNA, 914 nt
Filed under: uncultured marine archaeon
Lineage: Archaea
Description: bacterial SSU rRNA
Rfam family: Archaeal small subunit ribosomal RNA
Source: RNAcentral